CAAAUUCAAACAUUUCGAUUUUCAAAGUCAACUUCAGAAAGUCAUACUAGUAUUACACAAACAAAAACACAGCUCACCAUAUUUGUACAAAGUUUUUCAAUAAACAGAGUAAAAAUUUUCAAUAAAACAAGAGGUUCCAUCGCCCUGGAUAAUCAUCAUGCAAUAGAGAUGCAACUAGUUUUGGUGUGCCUUUGAGUAGUUGUGGUGUGCCUUUGAGUUGGCAUCAACAUUUUCAUCCACAUUUACUUUUUCAUCACUUUUUUCCAACAUCUCCUCAAUCGCCACAAUCUUCUACUCGUGUUGUUUAUCAACUUGAUUGUUGCCACCAUAUCAAGUUAUGGCUUUGUCUCCGAUUUCAUCAUCAUUCGAAUGGCAUACCUCAUAGUUCGUACCUACAAAAUUUUGUUUCCCCGCUCUUAAACUUCGUUUGCCCGCUCU
RNAcentral lists this long non-coding RNA (438 nucleotides) under Brassica napus (rape). RNAcentral describes it as "long non-coding RNA (BNAP_LNC023654)". The record is from RNAcentral. Lineage: Eukaryota; Viridiplantae; Streptophyta; Magnoliopsida; Brassicales; Brassicaceae.